CAUGCCUUCCGCCAGAGAACUACAAGCAACAAGCUUAAAACUCAAAGGACUUGACGGUGUCCCACAUCGACCUAGAGGAGCCUGUCCUAUAAUCGAUACCCCCCGUUCCACCCAACCCAUACUAGCAUCAGCCUAUAUACCGCCGUCGACAGUCUACCUCAUGAGAGAAUAGUAGAUACAAUAGUUAACAACUAAUACGUCAGGUCAAGGUGUAGCAAAUGUAAGGGAAGAGAUUGGCUACAUUUUUUAUAUUAAAAAACACGAAAUGCACCAUGAAACAUUGCAUGAAGGCGAAUUUAGCAGUAAAACAAAUAAGAGUGUUUGUUUUAACACCGCUCUGGGACGCGU
RNAcentral lists this ribosomal RNA (348 nucleotides) under Mesalina austroarabica. Its description in RNAcentral is "partial small subunit ribosomal RNA". It matches the Rfam family "Bacterial small subunit ribosomal RNA", at positions 861 to 1384 of the family's 1533-position model. Lineage: Eukaryota; Metazoa; Chordata; Lepidosauria; Squamata; Lacertidae. The record is from RNAcentral.